GCCCCCAUCGUCUAAUGGAUAGGUCGUGGAUUUCCUAAAUCUGAAAUGUAGGUUCGAUUCCUGCUGGGGGCA
RNAcentral lists this transfer RNA (72 nucleotides) under Rikenellaceae bacterium. RNAcentral describes it as "tRNA-Arg". It matches the Rfam family "tRNA". From Rfam's summary of the family: Transfer RNA (tRNA) molecules are approximately 80 nucleotides in length. Their secondary structure includes four short double-helical elements and three loops (D, anti-codon, and T loops). Lineage: Bacteria; Pseudomonadati; Bacteroidota; Bacteroidia; Bacteroidales; Rikenellaceae. The record is from RNAcentral.